RNAcentral lists this ribosomal RNA (599 nucleotides) under Vibrio alginolyticus. RNAcentral's name for it is "partial 23S ribosomal RNA". It matches the Rfam family "Bacterial large subunit ribosomal RNA", at positions 607 to 1209 of the family's 2925-position model. Lineage: Bacteria; Pseudomonadati; Pseudomonadota; Gammaproteobacteria; Vibrionales; Vibrionaceae. The record is from RNAcentral.
UUUGUAUAAUGGGUCAGCGACUUAUAUUCAGUGGCAAGGUUAACCAUCUAGGGGAGCCGUAGGGAAACCGAGUCUUAACUGGGCGUUCAGUCUCUGGAUAUAGACCCGAAACCAGGUGAUCUAGCCAUGGGCAGGUUGAAGGUUGAGUAACAUCAACUGGAGGACCGAACCGACUAAUGUUGAAAAAUUAGCGGAUGACUUGUGGCUAGGGGUGAAAGGCCAAUCAAACCUGGAGAUAGCUGGUUCUCCCCGAAAGCUAUUUAGGUAGCGCCUCGGACGAAUACUACUGGGGGUAGAGCACUGUUAAGGCUAGGGGGUCAUCCCGACUUACCAACCCUUUGCAAACUCCGAAUACCAGUAAGUACUAUCCGGGAGACACACGGCGGGUGCUAACGUCCGUCGUGGAGAGGGAAACAACCCAGACCGCCAGCUAAGGUCCCAAAUUACUACUAAGUGGGAAACGAUGUGGGAAGGCUCAGACAGCCAGGAUGUUGGCUUAGAAGCAGCCAUCAUUUAAAGAAAGCGUAAUAGCUCACUGGUCGAGUCGGCCUGCGCGGAAGAUGUAACGGGGCUAAGUAGUAAACCGAAGCUGCGGCAAU